Molecule: long non-coding RNA, 1095 nt
Filed under: Prunus dulcis (almond)
Lineage: Eukaryota; Viridiplantae; Streptophyta; Magnoliopsida; Rosales; Rosaceae
Description: sRNA ncRNA
Source: RNAcentral
AUUACAUAAACCACUCACCUUGAUAAUGAGAGCCCUUAAAAUAAAUUGGCAAGACAACCCAUCUACCUAUCUUCAUGUACUAUCAUCCAAACCAAGCUCCAAGAGUUUAAUCACCACUCUCUCUCCUUCUUUCUAAUUUCUCAUGUUUUGAAACUAUAAGGUUAUGCUCCUAUUUAUAUAGUGUUUAUAGGGAUGGAAUAAACUUCAAUAUUAAAAUAAUAAGAACAUCCAAGUUUAUUUUAAAGAUAAUAUCGUCCAAAUUUAUCCAAAAAAUAAAUAUCUUCUUUUAUCUGUUUAAAAUACGGGUAUUCACAAAAUCAGUAAACAAGGACCAACUCUCUCCCACCUCUUAUUCCCUGAUAACUCCGUAUUCUUCCUCAAAGCCACGUAUAGUAACGGCCACAAUAUGAUGCACCUCUUAAAUGCCAAUUGCACAGCCUCUGGUCAGACCAUAAGCAUGGCAAAAUCCUACAUUUUUUUGGGCCAGAAUACUCCUUUAGGGCUGAGAAGUAACAUAUGCUUUAUAUUUGGUGUUAAGGGCAGUUGAGGAUCCAAGGAAAUAUUUGGGGCUGCCAACAUCUUGGGGCCGUGUAAAAGGGGAGGCAGGCGGGGCGUGACAUUAUGAUUAAAGCCGUGGCACUUGCCAUCCCAACAUAUCCCAUGAAUGUCUUCAAGUUCCCCACCUCUUUAUGUAAAGUAAUUGAUGCCUUGCUUGCCAAAUUUUGGUGGGGCCAGAAGGAAGAUGAAACAAAAGUUCAUUGGGUUAGUUGGAAAUCUCUGGGCAUAUCAAAAAUUGAGGGAGGUAUGGGAUUCAGGAGUUUGCAAGAGUUCAACCUAGCUUUUUUGGCAAAACAAAGAUGGAGGAUCCCGGAUAAACCUAAUUCACUGUGGGUUCGUGUGCUAAAAGGCAGAUAUUUCCCUAAUGGGGAUUUUAGAGAUGCUGUGAAGGGUAGUAGGGCCUCCGAAAUUUUAUGUGGAGAGCCCUCCGAAACUGCUAGGCUACCUCAUAAAAUUUGUUUAAAAGAAAAAUUGGUCGGUCUCCUCUUUGCCAAAUUUGCUCCACACACCCAGAAACCAUUGAGCACAUUUUGUUAC